AAUGGUGGCAGUUUGUGACACAACUGAAGGCUCCUCUAAGGGACAGCUCUCCGCGAUUCCACCGCGUGCCGGCUUUGGAGGCGUUUGCUGGCGUGGUGAGGCUCAGCUUCCCCCUCUGUUUCCCAGGCUCCAGAGACUAAUCCUUCCUUUGGCUGGCUCUGCUGCUGCUAUGGCAAUAUUUUCUCCCCCAUCGUGGUAAUCACGCAAUGGUCUCUGAGAACAGCAGGAGAAGCUGUGCCUGGUAGAUGCAUAAAAGAGCUCCCUCUGCUUCAAAGGCCGUAAGAGCCUGUGACUCCACCAACCUUUUAAAUGGAAAAGGGAAUCCCCGUGGAAGCAGUCGUGAGGCAGGGCAGGGCUGUGUGAGGAGGGAUGAAGGACACGGAUGCUCAGAAGGCUCCAGAUCAGGGCAGUUAUUUUCCAGCCCUAGAAGAUGCCUGUUCCUCAGUGCACACCAGGAAGGGAUGCUUUGCCGCUGGGAGGGAGGGAGGGAGCUGCAGGAUUUGCUUGUUUCUGUGUGGACAUGGCAAGCAGCAGCACAGAGGUGGGUACCACGUAUAGCACAGCCAAGCCCCAGCACUGGGACUCCUCCUCCUCUGCUAAAUGAUUGCAGUUACCAAAGACUGACAAGUGCCAUUAAAAUUUAUUAG
This 647-nucleotide long non-coding RNA is filed under the name Parus major (Great Tit). Its description in RNAcentral is "lncRNA (ENSPMJG00000019154.1)". The record is from RNAcentral. Lineage: Eukaryota; Metazoa; Chordata; Aves; Passeriformes; Paridae.